CCAACACAACAUCUUAACAAAAGGGGGUUUUACCGGCGUUAGUUCAUUAGCUCAAACACACAACUUUGACUAUGAUACUGCUAUUAUCCAAUUUUAUAAGAAAGCUGUAGUGGUGGAGCAGUACGAUUACUGUACUUUGCCACAGAGCGGUAGGCAAGGAGGAUCUCUGAGUCAUUUGGGCAGUCUACUCACUGCGGUGGGGCCAAGGUCUCCUCCAGGAACUCCUCAAUCUUGUUAGUGUCCGUUUUGACCUCUUCGUUGUAGAGGAGGAAGGGAGGCUGAGAACCUGGAGCCAAAGCCUUCAGCACAUCAGGUGCCCUGCAACAGAGCAGCAAACAACAAGCAAGGUCUAGCUUAAAUUAUGAGAACAAAUUUCAACCAAACAAUAACAAAUGAGUAAGAAGGGGUCAAUUAGAUUAGAAUUAUUAGAACAAAGUGCUUUGAUAAUAUUUGGAGUCAUUGUUUCAUGGAGUUCCUCCUAAACUCAGCAAAGAAAUUAAUACUGUGUAAAUGUGAAUGUGUUUGUCACUAUGUGUUAUUAUUGUUCCCUUGUUGUACCUAUUGUAGCCUUUUCACCCAGUAUUUGCUGG
Micropterus dolomieu (smallmouth bass) is the source of this 590-nucleotide long non-coding RNA. RefSeq lists it as uncharacterized. The record is from RefSeq and is a predicted model, not a curated record. The transcript has 3 exons. NCBI's taxonomy places the organism in Eukaryota, Metazoa, Chordata, Actinopteri, Centrarchiformes, Centrarchidae.